UGUGCGGUCCGCGUGGUUCGCGCAUCAGUUGACAUUUGACUUCGAAACGAUACGGGUCGGGAUCGCGGAUGAUCGUGCAUUUCUAGGCGAGUUGUGUUGUGAAAGUGUGCAGUGCAUUUCAAGCUUUUCUUUAGUGAUUUUCCCGGCACAUAUUAUUUUCUCCUCUUUGAAGCAGAACGGCGGGGAACGGAGAAUUUAAUUUUGGAUUUGAAAAGCAUUUCGUGAUGCAACGGCUGAUGAUGUCUAGUGCCAGUUGGUGUUUUGGGAUGGCAUGUUGGUUCUUGCUGCUGACAAACCUGAUGUAUCGGUCGCAAGUUGCAUGCAGUUCUGUCCUAGUGGCCGACUUCCGGAUGACCCGCAUGGUCGAGCUUAGCAGUCGACCUCCUUACUGCAAGAUUCACUCCGAUCGUGGAGACAUCCAACGAAUGUUGUUAGCGUCGGACACAAAGAAGGUGCGUCAAGUACCACGCGAAUCGGUAAUUGCUUUGGAGGAAGUGUGCGGCGAAGCUAGUGAUAUCUCUGGAGAGCUGCAGGGAGGAUUGGGAUUUAUCUAUCCUGGCACAAAAUGGUGCGGACCGGGAAAUAUUGCGACCAACUAUACCGAUGUAGGACGAUAUGCCGCAGAAGAUCAAUGCUGCCGAGAGCAUGAUUUGUGUCCGAAUGUACUAUUGCCGGGUGAGUGCCGCCGUGGGCUAUGCAAUCGUGGAACCUUCACCCGGUCACACUGUGACUGCGAUGCACGGUUCAGGAGGUGUUUGCAAAAUUUAAACACGGAGACGGCCAACACACUCGGUGCUAUAUUCUUCAAUGUCGUGCAGGUGACAUGCUUCGGCGAGAGAAGACCGUGCUCGGUUUGGCAAAGUGACAGCUACACCGGCUACGACUGUCCGAUACAGUUCUACCGUUCUGGAACAUACAGCUUGCCAUAUGGAGCCACGUACAACAAACACAUUUCUCUGCGCAACUCGAGAUCAUUUGAUGUAGGAAACGGCAACGAUAUUGUCGAUGGGAAUCGGUUAAAAUUCGAUUCGUUAGGUUUAAUAUCACAGAAUUUGUUUAAAGAUUUGUUUGUACGCCCAUUAAAUGGGUACACACGUUAUUUGAUUACGGCAAAAUCGAUCGUCUAUGGUUGAACGUUAAAAACUUGGGAUCGUACGAUCGUAAGAAUCUCAGACGGGGUUUGAACUGUCUCCAUGAAGAACAGUACAUAGAAACAUAGAAUUUUAUAUAGUAGACUGAUUAUUGAGUUGAGUAAUAAGUAUCGCUACAACAUGUGCGAAUAGUCAUAAAUACUCAAUCGUAUUCAAGUAUUCAUCAGUAAGCGCAGUAUACUUUUCUGGAAACCCCGGAUACUAGUAGUAGCUUAAAACAUUUGAAUAUUGGUGUGUGAAAAGCACACAACAAAACGAAAAAAAACUGUGUACCAUGCGGAUAAUCAACUGCUCACAGUUUAAUUUGCAUCAAAAGAGCCAUGUGAAAAAGAACGUAGAAAAUCUAAUGUCAGAAAAAUGAAAGCCGUUGUAGCGGAAGAGUGUAACGCCUUGGCACGACGGAAACGGCAUCGUGCACUACCAAAAGUAGAGCUCAUGGACAAUGAGUGGGCUUCAAUCAGUCGGAAGCGGACGAGCUUUGCUCGAGAUGGAAGUAUCGGCCGAGCGAAAAGUACAUCCCGAUUAUGCAGCAGAAGUCCAACAAGUAGUC
This is an RNA transcript of Anopheles funestus (African malaria mosquito), 1701 nucleotides long. It is a transcript of the gene named group 3 secretory phospholipase A2-like, with no coding region annotated. Lineage: Eukaryota; Metazoa; Arthropoda; Insecta; Diptera; Culicidae. The transcript has 7 exons. The record is from RefSeq and is a predicted model, not a curated record.